Molecule: ribosomal RNA, 492 nt
Filed under: uncultured bacterium
Lineage: Bacteria
Description: partial 16S ribosomal RNA
Rfam family: Bacterial small subunit ribosomal RNA
Source: RNAcentral
AGUGAACGCUGGCGGUAGGCCUAACACAUGCAAGUCGAACGGCAGCACAGUAAGAGCUUGCUCUUACGGGUGGCGAGUGGCGGACGGGUGAGGAAUAUAUCGGAAUCUACUUUUUCGUGGGGGAUAACGUAGGGAAACUUACGCUAAUACCGCAUACGACCUACGGGUGAAAGCAGGGGAUCUUCGGACCUUGCGCGAUUGAAUGAGCCGCUGUCGGUUUAGCUAGUUGGCGGGGUAAAGGCCCACCAAGGCGACGAUCCGUAGCUGGUCUGAGAGGAUGAUCAGCCACACUGGAACUGGAACACGGUCCAGACUCCUACGGGAGGCAGCAGUGGGGAAUAUUGGACAAUGGGCGCAAGCCUGAUCCAGCCAUACCGCGUGGGUGAAGAAGGCCUUCGGGUUGUAAAGCCCUUUUGUUGGGAAAGAAAAGCAGCAGGUUAAUACCCCGCUGUUCUGACGGUACCCAAAGAAUAAGCACCGGCUAACUUCGUG